UACGGAGGGUGCAAGCGUUAUCCGGAUUCACUGGGUUUAAAGGGUGUGUAGGCGGGCUAUUAAGUCAGUGGUGAAAUCUCCGGGCUCAACCCGGAAACUGCCAUUGAUACUAUUAGUCUUGAAUAUCGUUGAGGUAGGCGGAAUAUAUCAUGUAGCGGUGAAAUGCAUAGAUAUGAUAUAGAACACCGAUUGCGAAGGCAGCUUGCUAAACGAUGAUUGACGCUGAGGCACGAAAGCGUGGGGAUCAAACAGG
Molecule: ribosomal RNA, 253 nt
Filed under: uncultured bacterium
Lineage: Bacteria
Description: partial 16S ribosomal RNA
Rfam family: Bacterial small subunit ribosomal RNA
Source: RNAcentral